GUCAGUAUGGCCGAGUGGUUAAGGCGCUAGACUGUAUAUCUAGUUCUUUCGAGAUCGUAGGUUCGAACCCUACUGCUGACG
Molecule: transfer RNA, 81 nt
Filed under: Aspergillus nidulans FGSC A4
Lineage: Eukaryota; Fungi; Ascomycota; Eurotiomycetes; Eurotiales; Aspergillaceae
Description: tRNA-Tyr (GTA) (tRNA-Tyr-GTA-4-1)
Rfam family: tRNA
About the family: Transfer RNA (tRNA) molecules are approximately 80 nucleotides in length. Their secondary structure includes four short double-helical elements and three loops (D, anti-codon, and T loops). Further hydrogen bonds mediate the characteristic L-shaped molecular structure. tRNAs have two regions of fundamental functional importance: the anti-codon, which is responsible for specific mRNA codon recognition, and the 3' end, to which the tRNAs corresponding amino acid is attached (by aminoacyl-tRNA synthetases). tRNAs cope with the degeneracy of the genetic code in two manners: having more than one tRNA (with a specific anti-codon) for a particular amino acid; and 'wobble' base-pairing, i.e. permitting non-standard base-pairing at the 3rd anti-codon position.
Source: RNAcentral